This 406-nucleotide ribosomal RNA is filed under the name uncultured bacterium. RNAcentral's name for it is "partial 16S ribosomal RNA". It matches the Rfam family "Bacterial small subunit ribosomal RNA", at positions 30 to 526 of the family's 1533-position model. The record is from RNAcentral.
AUUGAACGCUGGCGGCAGGCCUAACACAUGCAAGUCGAGCGAGCGGCGGACGGGUGAGCAAGGUAUCUGGAUUUGCCCGAGAGAGGGGGUUAACUAAUGGAAACGAUGGCUAAUACCGCAUUCUUUCGGAUGAACCCAUAUGGGAUUAGGGAGUAGGUGGGGUAAAGGAUCACCUAGGCGACGAUCUCUAGCUGGUCUGAGAGGAUGAUCAGCCACACUGGGACUGAGACACGGUCCAGACUCCUACGGGAGGCAGCAGUGGGGAAGAUUGCACAAUGGGCGAAAGCCUGAUGCAGCCAUGCCGCGUGUAUGAAGAAGGCCUUCGGGUUGUAAAGUACUUUCAGCGGGGAGGCGUUACCCGCAGAAGAAGCACCGGCUAACUCCGUGCAAGCAGCCGCGGUAAUAC